Macaca mulatta (Rhesus monkey) is the source of this 427-nucleotide non-coding RNA. Lineage: Eukaryota; Metazoa; Chordata; Mammalia; Primates; Cercopithecidae. The record is from RefSeq and is a predicted model, not a curated record.
UUCAGGGCUUAUCCAGAAUCCAGAAAGUGUUUGGAUAUUGGAAAAACAAAAACAAAAAACCUUUGUUCUGUAAGACAGUAUAGAAAGUUAGGAGAAAGGUCUAUUCCAGGAUCAAGUGUGCCAGGAACAACCGGGAGGAACAGGCCAAGGUUUCAGAGCCUCAGGAAUGAGAAACAGCAGGAGGUGAGCGGGAACUAGACCAACAGGACCCAAGGGAGAGUAUCAAAGGCACAACAAAGGAAAAUGAGGACAACCCAAUACCCGGAAAAAAAACAAGUAAUUCAUGGACUCACAAUAGGCCACAAACUAGAUGACUGUCAGGAAGAGAAGAGCAAACCUUAUGAUCUUAAAAUGAUUUCUUGUUCAUUUGCAUCCUCGCAUCAAUCUAGACUUUAAGAGAUACGUGAUUUUUAAAUAAAUGGGUACA